GACGAACGCUGGCGGCGUGCCUAACACAUGCAAGUCGAACGGAAGUUAGAGCUUCGGUUUUAACUUUAGUGGCGAACGGGUGAGUAACGCGUGGGUAACCUGCCGUAUACAGGGGGACAACAGUUGGAAACGACUGCUAAUACCGCAUAAGCGCACAGUACCGCAUGGUACAGUGUGAAAAACUCCGGUGGUAUACGAUGGACCCGCGUCUGAUUAGCUAGUUGGUGAGGUAACGGCUCACCAAGGCGACGAUCAGUAGCCGGCCUGAGAGGGUGAACGGCCACAUUGGGACUGAGACACGGCCCAAACUCCUACGGGAGGCAGCAGUGGGGAAUAUUGCACAAUGGGGGAAACCCUGAUGCAGCGACGCCGCGUGAGUGAAGAAGUAUUUCGGUAUGUAAAGCUCUAUCAGCAAGGAAGAAAAUGACGGUACUUGACUAAGAAGCCCCGGCUAACUACGUG
This 462-nucleotide ribosomal RNA is filed under the name uncultured bacterium. Its description in RNAcentral is "bacterial SSU rRNA". It matches the Rfam family "Bacterial small subunit ribosomal RNA", at positions 28 to 507 of the family's 1533-position model. The record is from RNAcentral.